Molecule: ribosomal RNA, 372 nt
Filed under: uncultured bacterium
Lineage: Bacteria
Description: bacterial SSU rRNA
Rfam family: Bacterial small subunit ribosomal RNA
Source: RNAcentral
ACGUAGGGGGCAAGCGUUGUCCGGAUUUAUUGGGCGUAAAGAGCGUGUAGGCGGCUUGGUAGGUCUUGCGUCAAAACCUGAGGCUCAACCUCAGUUCGCGUGGGAAACCACCUAGCUAGAGUCCGGAAGAGGAGAACGGAAUUCCCAGUGUAGCGGUGAAAUGCGCAGAUAUUGGGAAGAACACCAGUGGCGAAGGCGGUUCUCUGGGACGGUACUGACGCUGAGACGCGAAAGCGUGGGGAGCGAACAGGAUUAGAUACCCUGGUAGUCCACGCCGUAAACGAUGGGCGCUAGGUGUGGGAGGUGUCGACUCCUUCCGUGCCGAAGCUAACGCAUUAAGCGCCCCGCCUGGGGAGUACGGCCGCAAGGCUA